UACGAAGGGGGCGAGCGUUGUUCGGAAUUACUGGGCGUAAAGGGCGCGUAGGCGGCCUUCUAAGUCGAACGUGAAAUCCCCGGGCUCAACCCGGGAACUGCGUCCGAUACUGGAAGGCUUGAAUCCGGGAGAGGGAUGCGGAAUUCCAGGUGUAGCGGUGAAAUGCGUAGAUAUCUGGAGGAACACCGGUGGCGAAGGCGGCAUCCUGGACCAAUUCUGACGCUGAGGAGCGAAAGCCAGGGGAGCAAACGGG
This 253-nucleotide ribosomal RNA is filed under the name uncultured bacterium. Its description in RNAcentral is "partial 16S ribosomal RNA". It matches the Rfam family "Bacterial small subunit ribosomal RNA", at positions 524 to 776 of the family's 1533-position model. The record is from RNAcentral.